Molecule: unclassified non-coding RNA, 336 nt
Filed under: soil metagenome
Description: partial contains 5.8S ribosomal RNA, internal transcribed spacer 2, and large subunit ribosomal RNA
Rfam family: 5.8S ribosomal RNA (bases 1-120)
Source: RNAcentral
GAUGAAGAACGCAGCAAAAUGCGAUAAGUAAUGUGAAUUGCAGAAUUCAGUGAAUCAUCGAAUCUUUGAACGCACAUUGCGCCCGCCAGUAUUCUGGCGGGCAUGCCUGUUCGAGCGUCAUUUCAACCAUCAAGCCCCAGGCUUGUGUUGGGGACCUGCGGCUGCCGCAGGCCCUGAAAACCAGUGGCGGGCUCGCUAGUCACACCGAGCGUAGUAGCAUACACAUCGCUCAGGGCGUGCUGCGGGUUCCGGCCGUUAAACCCCUUUUUUACCCAAGGUUGACCUCGGAUCAGGUAGGAAUACCCGCUGAACUUAAGCAUAUCAAUAAGCGGAGGA